UCGCNUCUGCUGUGAAAGGCUGGGGCUUAACCCUGGUUUUGCAGUGGGUACGGGCUAACUAGAGUGCAGUAGGGGAGACUGGAAUUCCUGGUGUAGCGGUGGAAUGCGCAGAUAUCAGGAGGAACACCGAUGGCGAAGGCAGGUCUCUGGGCUGUAACUGACGCUGAGAAGCGAAAGCAUGGGGAGCGAACAGGAUUAGAUACCCUGGUAGUCCAUGCCGUAAACGUUGGGCACUAGGUGUGGGGGACAUUCCACGUUUUCCGCGCCGUAGCUAACGCAUUAAGUGCCCCGCCUGGGGAGUACGGCCGCAAGGCUAAAACUCAAAGAAAUUGACGGGGGCCCGCACAAGCGGCGGAGCAUGCGGAUUAAUUCGAUGCAACGCGGAGAACCUUACCAAGGCUUGACAUAUACUGGACUGCGUCAGAGAUGGCGUUUCCCUUCGGGGCUGGUAUACAGGUGGUGCAUGGUUGUCGUCAGCUCGUGUCGUGAGAUGUUGGGUUAAGUCCCGCAACGAGCGCAACCCUCGUUCUAUGUUGCCAGCACGUGAUGGUGGGGACUCAUAGGAGACUGCCGGGGUCAACUCGGAGGAAGGUGGGGAUGACGUCAAAUCAUCAUGCCCCUUAUGUCUUGGGCUUCACGCAUGCUACAAUGGCCGGUACAGAGGGUUGCGAUACUGUGAGGUGGAGCUAAUCCCUAAAAGCCGGUCUCAGUUCGGAUUGGGGUCUGCAACUCGACCCCAUGAAGUCGGAGUCGCUAGUAAUCGCAGAUCAGCAACGCUGCGGUGAAUACGUUCCCGGGCCUUGUAUACACCGCCCGUCAAGUCACGAAAGUUGGUAACACCCGAA
This 845-nucleotide ribosomal RNA is filed under the name uncultured bacterium. RNAcentral's name for it is "bacterial SSU rRNA". It matches the Rfam family "Bacterial small subunit ribosomal RNA", at positions 583 to 1425 of the family's 1533-position model. The record is from RNAcentral.